GCUGGAUGAAAACCUUCACAGCCUGGAGCCGAGACAUUUCCACGCAGAAAGCAACAACAGCCUGCUGUUUCUUCUUCUUUGGAUUUGAACGGUAGUUGCAUGUCGUUGCAGUGGGUCAAGUGUACUUACUUGACAGGACGAGGGGUGGAAGCGAGGAUUGCGAUCAGCAGCUACACUGCUAGAUCACUAAAUCCUACACACUGCUCCUUCAAGAGUCAGGAUGUGACACAAGUUAACAGCAGCGAACUUGUGGAUCCUCCAUCAACAUCAGUUCAGUCAGGAUGGACUUCAUUCUGAGCAAACAUAUAUUUAGGGACAACGUUUAUGUCUGAGAUAUGGUUGAAGAUGAUAGGUUAAUGUGUGAUGGCUGCUUCUGUGUGUUUCUUUUGCUGGUAGCAGGUCUAUAGACUCAAAGACAGACAGAAGUACUGUAUGUGUGUGGAAACAGAUGAUUAUGAUAAACUGUAAUUUUAUAUCUUCUUGGGGUGUAGAGGCCUUUUCAUAAUGGUAUUUAAAUGACUCAUAUUAGUCGUUGGUUUGAAAUUAUUUUAAUACUACACCUUCUUAAUCUUAAUCUUAAAAUCUAAAAAAGUCUCAGUCUUGUUUCUUGUUAGCACAAGGUUGUAAGUGUGAUAUAAAUACAUGUUAUGCUGCACAGUUACGCUUUAAGACUGGAUCUGCCAAAUAAGGACCACCCAGAGGAAAAAAACAAAACAUAAACACACGCACACAUUCUACCAGAGUCUGACGACAGUUUGAAUGCUUGAUGACAGGACGAACGGGCGAAGAAAAGGAUUUAUAAGAAAGAUAAAAAUAUUCUAGGUGUCUGGUUGUUUGUAUCUAUUUUUGCAGACUGCUUUGAAAAGUGCUUUAUAAAUAAAGUUAAUACAAGGCGACAGAGGUACAUAAUCAGCUGCUCACUGCUGUCAUUCAUGAAGAGCCUUCUGAGGGACAGAUACGAUUACUGCCCUUCUCAGGAUCAACAAGAUGGGAAGGACAAACGGACCAGCAAAGGGGAAGGGGAGCUCAGACUAGAAGGUUUAACUUUGAACGAUGAAUGAAUGUCUGGGCCGUCUCUCAACUGUCCCGGCUCCAUUGUACCAAGCAGAUGGAUCGUUUGUUUUCAGCAGGUCUGGCAAAGGACAUUUAAGCUCAACCUGACUGUGGACCGUGUACACAACAACAUUGUCGGAGUGCAUGGGAUUAUAUUUAUGACUCAACUCUCAGCAUUAAAAUUUGGAAGAGUUUGUGCACAGCCUGUCUCUUUGUUAUUAUUAAUACUCAAAAAUCAACUGACAACUCUUUUGAUUGACAGACAGGGCUUUCAAUGAUUGUCUGCUUCACUUUGUCAUAUCUGAUGUAAUGUGAAUAUGUCUGAGCAGAUUUUAUAUCACAAAUUAACAAAAAACACAAUUGUAUGUACUAACUGUAAGCAAAUAUAUAUUCUAUAAGAAUAGAAAGCAAAAGCAGUACAUGGACUUCAAGAUGGCAGAGGAGCUGUCACUGCAACCCUGCAUGAACAGAAGAUGUCGGGCUGAUAUCGCCUAACAUUUACAGUAAUGCAGUUACUUCUUUUAGUAAUUCAGCACAUUAACAUGAAUCCAAGAUAUUAUGACAUUUUUAAUAGGCUACCCAUGAAUCCUUGUGCAAUCAUAUGAAUUGGCACUAUGGAAAACGUUGUUUUAAAAUAAAAUCAUGUGCUCAUCUUCUGUAAAACUUGUUUACUUUGCUUUGAUCUUUUGAAAUUCAGAACCAGAAUCUGAUGUUAUAUGUUAUCUGAUAUUUUGGAAUUUAGAAGCAGAAUCCAAUGUGUUCAUGGUUCUUUGGCUUUGAUCUUGGUUGUCGCCCUGCCUGCCUGUGAGUGAGUGAGUGAGUGAGUGAGUGUGCGAGUGACUGAUUGAUUGAUUUCAAGAAGUUAACUUAGUUGACAUCCAGACAGACAGGCCGAGACGUGCAGGCAUGCCUCCAUACACCCAGACAGGCAGAGGGGGAGAAAAAAAACAGACCCAGGGACACAUACAGCUUCUGGUUCCCUACCCCGGCUCCUCACCUGCUCGAGAGUUACAAUGUCUGGGAGACUACAGGAGCGAGAAGAAAAAGACGAUCGGAGGGCCCCUGCCGGCCGUCCCAGCGCCGGUGUUCGGGCAGGAUGAUCCUCCCUCCCCGCGGGUCCCAACACAUCCAGGGCUGGGACGUGCCCACAGCUCACGACGGAGCCCGUCGCCGGGUAACGCGUCCUCCCCACUCCCUCCACCCCCCUCCAGGGGUGUUGGAGUGACGGUUGUCGGGGACCCACCCGGCUCGUGCGGCGGGCCUUCGGAGAGCACACGAUGUUUCUCAAAGUCCCUUUCCCAUGAAACAUGCAACAUGGAAGAUCACCUGUGGUGUGUGCAUAUAUAAAAGAAUCCAAGUCUCCAGGCAGACCAGCAGCUGUCAGCCAUCAGGACUAUUUUGGUCAUAGAAGAG
Molecule: long non-coding RNA, 2466 nt
Organism: Larimichthys crocea (large yellow croaker)
Lineage: Eukaryota; Metazoa; Chordata; Actinopteri; Sciaenidae
Exons: 8
Source: RefSeq, a predicted model, not a curated record